RNAcentral lists this ribosomal RNA (497 nucleotides) under uncultured bacterium. RNAcentral describes it as "partial 16S ribosomal RNA". It matches the Rfam family "Bacterial small subunit ribosomal RNA", at positions 28 to 507 of the family's 1533-position model. The record is from RNAcentral.
GAUGAACGCUGGCGGCGUGCCUAAUACAUGCAAGUCGAGCGAACAGACGAGGAGCUUGCUCCUCUGACGUUAGCGGCGGACGGGUGAGUAACACGUGGAUAACCUACCUAUAAGACUGGGAUAACUUCGGGAAACCGGAGCUAAUACCGGAUAAUAUAUUGAACCGCAUGGUUCAAUAGUGAAAGACGGUUUUGCUGUCACUUAUAGAUGGAUCCGCGCCGCAUUAGCUAGUUGGUAAGGUAACGGCUUACCAAGGCAACGAUGCGUAGCCGACCUGAGAGGGUGAUCGGCCACACUGGAACUGAGACACGGUCCAGACUCCUACGGGAGGCAACAGUAGGGAAUCUUCCGCAAUGGGCGAAAGCCUGACGGAGCAACGCCGCGUGAGUGAUGAAGGUCUUCGGAUCGUAAAACUCUGUUAUUAGGGAAGAACAAAUGUGUAAGUAACUAUGCACGUAUUGACGGUACCUAAUCAGAAAGCCACGGCUAACUACGUG